AAGAGCGUUGAUGCAGAGGUUGCCGCAAAAGCGGGUUUUCUGCGGAGCGAUGUCCAGUUCAAGAAACCGGGCG
RNAcentral lists this non-coding RNA (73 nucleotides) under human gut metagenome. Its description in RNAcentral is "S10-Clostridia ribosomal protein leader". It matches the Rfam family "S10-Clostridia ribosomal protein leader". The record is from RNAcentral.